Molecule: ribosomal RNA, 485 nt
Filed under: uncultured bacterium
Lineage: Bacteria
Description: bacterial SSU rRNA
Rfam family: Bacterial small subunit ribosomal RNA
Source: RNAcentral
ACUCAAAGGAAUUGACGGGGGCCCGCACAAGCAGCGGAGCGUGUGGUUUAAUUCGAGGCAACACGAAGAACCUUACCUGGGCUUGACAUGUACGUGGUAGUGAAGCGAAAGCGGAUCGACCCUUCGGGGAGCGUUCACAGGUGCUGCAUGGCUGUCGUCAGCUCGUGCCGUGAGGUGUUCGGUUAAGUCCGGUAACGAGCGCAACCCUCGCUGUUAGUUACAAGUGUCUAACGGGACUGCCGGUUUAAUACCGGAGGAAGGUGGGGAUGACGUCAAGUCAGCAUGGCCUCUAUGUCCAGGGCUACACACACGCUACAAUGGCCGGUACAGUGGGUUGCCAAACCGCGAGGUGGAGCUAAUCCUCAAAGCCGGUCUCAGUUCGGAUUGUAGGCUGCAACUCGCCUGCAUGAAGUCGGAGUUGCUAGUAACCGCGCGUCAGCUAUAGCGCGGUGAAUACGUUCCCGGGCCUUGUACACACCGCCCGU